Molecule: long non-coding RNA, 210 nt
Filed under: Elaeis guineensis (African oil palm)
Lineage: Eukaryota; Viridiplantae; Streptophyta; Magnoliopsida; Arecales; Arecaceae
Description: long non-coding RNA (EGUI_LNC045381)
Source: RNAcentral
GGACCCGCCACUGAGGGCCGAGCUGGGCAAGGCUGUCGUCAGCUGCUAUCUUCAUCGGAUCACCAUCCUCGUAUGAUUCAUGGAUAUCCUACCAUAUUGGAUCAUUCGGAUCAAUAAUAUGAUGCAGCGAGUAUUGAUGAUGCCUAUAACCCUAUUCUCCAUGAUUCUUGGCUCUAUGAAUGGCUCAUCGCUCUUCAAGCAAAGGCAUAU